RNAcentral lists this ribosomal RNA (497 nucleotides) under uncultured bacterium. Its description in RNAcentral is "partial 16S ribosomal RNA". It matches the Rfam family "Bacterial small subunit ribosomal RNA", at positions 28 to 507 of the family's 1533-position model. The record is from RNAcentral.
GAUGAAUGCUGGCGGCGUGCCUAAUACAUGCAAGUCGAGCGAACAGACGAGGAGCUUGCUCCUCUGACGUUAGCGGCGGACGGGUGAGUAACACGUGGAUAACCUACCUAUAAGACUGGGAUAACUUCGGGAAACCGGAGCUAAUACCGGAUAAUAUAUUGAACCGCAUGGUUCAAUAGUGAAAGACGGUUUUGCUGUCACUUAUAGAUGGAUCCGCGCCGCAUUAGCUAGUUGGUAAGGUAACGGCUUACCAAGGCAACGAUGCGUAGCCGACCUGAGAGGGUGAUCGGCCACACUGGAACUGAGACACGGUCCAGAGUCCGACGGGAGGCAGCAGUAGGGAAUCUGACGCAAUGGGCGAAAGCCUGACGGAGCAACGCCGCGUGAGUGAUGAAGGUCUUCGGAUCGUAAAACUCUGUUAUUAGGGAAGAACAAAUGUGUAAGUAAAUAUGCACGUAUUGACGGUACCUAAUCAGAAAGCCACGGCUAACUACGUG